UACGGAGGGUGCAAGCGUUAUCCGGAUUCACUGGGUUUAAAGGGUGCGUAGGCGGGCAGGUAAGUCAGUGGUGAAAUCUCUGGGCUUAACCCAGAAACUGCCGUUGAUACUACUUGUCUUGAAUAUCAUGGAGGUAAGCGGAAUAUGUCAUGUAGCGGUGAAAUGCUUAGAUAUGACAUAGAACACCGAUAGCGAAGGCAGCUUACUACAUGUUAAUUGACGCUGAGGCACGAAAGCGUGGGGAGCAAACAGG
This 253-nucleotide ribosomal RNA is filed under the name uncultured bacterium. Its description in RNAcentral is "partial 16S ribosomal RNA". It matches the Rfam family "Bacterial small subunit ribosomal RNA", at positions 524 to 776 of the family's 1533-position model. The record is from RNAcentral.